Molecule: long non-coding RNA, 2011 nt
Organism: Anopheles funestus (African malaria mosquito)
Lineage: Eukaryota; Metazoa; Arthropoda; Insecta; Diptera; Culicidae
Exons: 3
Source: RefSeq, a predicted model, not a curated record
AACAAACAAAGAUCCUAUUAAAUAGUAAAAACACAUUGAAUUAAAUCUAUUUCAUUAUAACCUCACCAUAACAAGUUGAAAGAAAAAAAAAACAAUAAUGCGUGAAGUAACGAUAUCCGACAAAAAAGCCAAGUGAAGUUUUCAAACCAUGUAUGUAUACAUUCCCACAAAAAUAGAUGCUGUCAAAAUGUCAAAACCUCGCAGGUAGUGGAUAAUUUACACAGGUAGCAAAUGCGCCAUUUGGCUUCCAGUUUAUCGCAUAAAACAUUUCCGCGCUCAAAUCACAUCAAACCAUUGUUUAUUGAGUGUACUGUAUGUGUUUUAAGCUGAACGAUUGAAGGUCUGAAAUAUACGGAUGUAACUGAAGCCGCCAAUAGAGAUUAUCAUAAUUUUGUCAACAAAUCGUAACACCGCGAGGAUAAAAAAUGAGUUCGGACAAAAGUUCGCCACAAGUGCAAAAUAACCCAAAACAAGUACAAAAACGUCGCACUACUAGCGACGAAGAUUGGGAACGCAUAGUAACGGCGUACGAAAACGGGGCCACACCAAUCACCAUUAGUCAGAUACUUAACAUACGGAUAGCGACUGUAUAUGGAAUCAUAAAAAAGUAUCAAACACACUGGCAAGUUGCUGCUAAAAAGCGUGGUGGAAACAGACCCAAAGCAUUGACACAGGAAGCAGUAGAAAGUAUUCGUCGCUGGAUUGUUGCAGACAGCACAAUUACGCUAAGAUCGCUUGCAGAAAAGGUGUUCCAGGAACACGAGAUUCGCGUAAGCUCGACCACUAUAGGCCGGGAAGUAAAGGAAAUCAAACGAUCCUGCGUACCCGCAACAUCUUCUACACGAUCGAGUUCGAAAUCCACGCGUCCUUCGAAGAAAGCGCAAGCGGCUCAAAGUAUAACUCGCACAAGUAGCAACUCACGUACAAAAAAAUCUACAAAAUGAACACUUUUUAAAAAGUGUCUCUUCAACCCAAACUUUUACUUUCAAACAAUAUAUGAAAUAAAUUAUUCCUUAACCAGACAUUUGGUGUCUGAAGUGUAUGAAAGAAUCAAUACAUCACUUAUCGCACCCAAACAAUGAGAAAAAAGAACAUCUGUUGCUGUAAAUAUUAGUAAAUGUUUUUAAUCCAAUUCAUUUUGUUCUUUUUUUUCGCAAUUCCAACAAGUCAAUUAUUGGAAUGUACUUAAAUCGAUGAGUGCAAAGCAAGCCAAAUACCAUCAAACUGUAACAUUACAUUACACCCAACGGAUUGCAUACAUUCAUGAAAAAAUAUCGCAUAACUUUUUGCAUUGCAAACAGGACUGUCGCACAAAUUUAUCCACGGGACAGGCCCGUUAUGCAUAUGCGCGAGGAUUAUAACGGACGAAAUACGAAAUCAACAACGGAAUAUUACACCAAACGUUUACGGUGGAAAAAUAUUCAACUGUAAAUAGCACCCGCAGAUGCGUGUAUAAUGUAGAAAAAUGCAGUCAAUCGAUGAUGCCACAUGACAAAUAUGCUGACUGCACUGUUUCCCACCGCAUGGUGCCCAUUAAAAGACAAACAAUUAUUGGAAUAGAAAAAAAAUACAUAUUCCACUCAUCAAUGAGCAUCGUCAUAGUUGAUUCGCCCGUGACAUUAUCUGAUGAUGUUUUUUUGUACGGUUUUGCGCGGUUGAUUAAGUUAAAGUUGCAGUUGGAAAAAUGAUUAUGAGCGAUAUAAUUGAUGUACAGCAUUUAUGAAAUAAGCCAAUCAAGCAAACGAAUUAUGGUUCAACUUUCGGCCAUUAAUCUGCGUUUGUCAGUCGACAUUUACUCGUUUGGUGUGACAAAACGUAUUAACGAAUGAUACGAAUAUUUAAUACAAAUUCAUCCUAAAUCCGACCAUUAACGCAUUGUUCGAUUUAAAUACGCUUCAAAUCAACGUUCGUUUUCAUCAGUGCACACGCUCUGCAAUGAAUACAAUUUGCAGCAUCCACCAAUCCAAGGCUUUCGGUGUUUGAUUACGAUGAAAUUAUGAGCCUUUCUCGG